Molecule: ribosomal RNA, 373 nt
Filed under: uncultured organism
Description: bacterial SSU rRNA
Rfam family: Bacterial small subunit ribosomal RNA
Source: RNAcentral
CGGGGGGAGCAAGCGUUGUUCGGAUUUACUGGGCGUAAAGGGCGCGUAGGCGGCCACCGCAAGUCGACUGUGAAAUCUCCGGGCUUAACCCGGAAAGGUCAGCCGAUACUGCGGGGCUAGAGUGCAGAAGGGGCAACUGGAAUUCUCGGUGUAGCGGUGAAAUGCGUAGAUAUCGAGAGGAACACCUGCGGCGAAGGCGGGUUGCUGGGCUGACACUGACGCUGAUGCGCGAAAGCUAGGGGAGCGAACGGGAUUAGAUACCCUGGUAGUCCACGCCCUAAACGAUGUCAACUAGGUGUUGGGUGGGUAAAACCAUUUAGUACCGGAGCUAACGCGUGAAGUUGACCGCCUGGGGAGUACGGCCGCAAGGUUA